GAAGGAGGAGGAGGACGAGAAGAAGAAGAAGAAGAAGAAGAAGAAGAAGAAGAAGAAGAAGAAGAAGAAGAAGAUCCUUUGUGUGGAGCGGAGAGAAGCUAACAAACACGCAGCAGAUAAACACUCGCUUUUAAAGCCGUUUGUUAGCUUAGCAUCAGCACAUCCUCCGUGGAUCGAUAGAACAGAGCGUUCACUCUGUCCAUCGCCUGACCGUCACAGUUACAGGUAAAAAAUAUGAAGCGUGUUAGCAGCGUUAGCUCCUGCUCUUAGCCUCCAUCGGCGCCAUUAGCUGCCCAGCGUCUUUGUGUGACCGCGGUGCUAGCAUGUGGCUAACGUUAGCUAAAUGCUAGUCAUCUGUUAGUUAUGUUAUCUGUUGGUUAUGUGUUAGUUAUGUGCUGGUUAUGUGUUAGUUAUGUGUUGGUUAUGUGUUGGUUAUGUGCUGGUUAUGUGUUAGUUAUGUGUUAGUUAUGUGUUGGUUAUGUGUUGGUUAUGUGCUGGUUAUGUGUUAGUUAUGUGUUGAUUAUGUGUUGGUUAUGUGCUGGUUAUGUGUUAGUUAUGUGUUGGUUAUGUGUUGGUUAUGUGCUGGUUAUGUGUUGGUUAUGUAUUAGUUAUGUGCUGGUUAUGUGUUAUGUGUUGGUUAUGUGUUGGUUAGCUCAGUAUCAUCACAUUUUUCACAUUAUUCAGUGACUGAAGCCUUGUGAAUCUUUGAGUUUUUUUUUAUUGUUUGUGUUGAAGAAGAUUCAAAGAUUCAAACAGAGACAACAACUCCCGGUUUUAUCCACCUACUGUAGUUUAACUGUUUAACUGUUCUUGAUUGUUUAGCUGUAGUUUAAUAGUUUACAUGUAGGGAUAAUGUUUGUUUUUAAGGGGGUCAUUCUUGACUAAGGUUGAACAAGUGAGUUUUAAACAUUGAACCAGGCUGUUUGUUGAAAUUCAGUCUGAUGGACUUAACCAGAAAUGUUGUUGUUGUUUAACAUUACUGUAACGUGUAGGCCUGGGUGGAGUAAUAAAGGUGUAGGUGGUGUUAUAAAGGUGUAAAGGUGUAGGUGGCGUUAUAAAGGUGUAAAGGUGUAGGUGGAGUUAUAAAGGUGUAAAGGUGUAGGUGUCAGUGGAGUUAUAAAGGUGUAGGUGGAGUUAUAAAGGUGUAAAGGUGUCGGUGGAGUUAUAAAGGUGUAGGUGGCGUUAUAAAGGUGUAAAGGUGUCGGUGGAGUUAUAAAGGUGUAGGUGGAGUUAUAAAGGUGUAGGUGGUGUUAUAAAGAUGUAAAGGUGUAGGUGGAGUUAUAAAGGUGUAAAGGUGUAGGUGGCGUUAUAGAGGUGUAGGUGGCGUUAUAAAGGUGUAAAGGUGUAGGUGGAGUUAUAAAGGUGUAAAGGUGUAGGUGUCAGUGGAGUUAUAAAGGUGUAAAGGUGUAGGUGGAGUUAUAAAGGUGUAGGUGGAGUUAUAAAGGUGUAAAGGUGUAGGUGGAGUUAUAAAGGUGUAGGUGGGGUUAUAAAGGUGUAAAGGUGUAGGUGGAGUUAUAAAGGUGUAGGUGGAGUUAUAAAGGUGUCGGUGGAGUUAUAAAUGUGUAAAGGUGUAGGUGGAGUUAUAAAGGCUAGGUUACCCGUGAAAAUGGGGGUGUUUUCAAAACACCCCUGUUGUUGACAGAAGGUUGGACUCGCUCAGCUUACAGAGACAGACCUCCUGUCUGUCUCUGUAAGCUGACACCAUUUCCCUCAGUGGAAAUUAAGCUUAUAUUUACUUGUAUUUCACAGAUAAGUAACAAUAAAUUGUGAAGACAGUAAAGCCUCCACUAAAAUAGCAUUUUAAGUCUUGUGUGUCAUUUAUCCUUCAGGGAUUUAUACUUCAGGAUUUAUCCUGGCUUCAUAUGAGCAGAGGAAGUCUCCGCUCGUCACUUGGCUAAUGUAUACCAUGUAAAAGUUUUGAUGACUUGAACUGAUGCGUUGAGCAGGUGACAGUACGCGGUCGUUUUCAAAACACACUUGUGUCACGCACUCCAAAAGAAACUUCUUGAAACUUUAAACAAUAAUUUAUUGUACAAAACGGGGGAAACAAACGUUGACAAAAACGGUUCCAUAAUUCAUAUUAAAUUCAAAAGAUGACGAAAAAACAGCUACAAGUUAGAGGGAAUAGUGGUUAAGUGGUAAAACUUGGCAUUGAUCCACAGCCUCAGACGGAUGCGCUCAAGCCUGCCGUGCACACAAGCUCCGUUGGUAGGCGAUACUGUAUUUUCACAUUUUUAACAAUGCAAUUUUGAUUUCGACCAAGAUUUUCUUUGUAUGACUACAG
Epinephelus moara (kelp grouper) is the source of this 2284-nucleotide long non-coding RNA. RefSeq lists it as uncharacterized. The transcript has 3 exons. The record is from RefSeq and is a predicted model, not a curated record. Lineage: Eukaryota; Metazoa; Chordata; Actinopteri; Perciformes; Serranidae.